Molecule: long non-coding RNA, 492 nt
Organism: Mauremys reevesii (Reeves's turtle)
Lineage: Eukaryota; Metazoa; Chordata; Testudines; Geoemydidae
Exons: 3
Source: RefSeq, a predicted model, not a curated record
GCCAAUAGCUGGUCCAUGGAGUGUCCCUGAUCAACUGAAAUAUCCAUCUCAAUCCUGUCCUGGUUGUCAGCUCCACCUCCCUGCUGUCUCCUUCCCUCCAUCACUGAGCUCUCCCCCUGCACCCGUAGGGAGCUCCCUUCUCACACUGCCUUGCAAGGGAGGGCUACAGCCACCUCUGCCUCUUUGUCCGCCAGGUGCUCGCUGCAUCUUCGUAUAUGAUGGUGCAGGUCGGAAGGGCAGCCAUGUUCCUCCCCUUCCAGCUGAUCAGCAGGUUCCAGGCUGGGUCGGGCCGAUGCUGGGAUAACUACAUGACAGAAACGCUCCUCUACCUGGAAGAUCACAAGACCUGCUUCUGGCAGAAGGAGUGGGAGCAGCAGCUGCUGCAGCACGUCAAUUUCUGGAUGCACUCCAGAGAGAAGUAGAAGAAAGCCAGGGCCAUAUGGAGCAGCACUGCCCUGCUCUGAUUUGCCACCUGCCUCCCCGGAUUUGACG